GUCCUGACUGGAAGUAGGACAUACUCUCGCACAAGGCGAGGGCUGGGGACUGGUCAUCCUCGGCAAAUAUUAACCGGGUGUGUGACCUCACCCUUCUCCU
RNAcentral lists this non-coding RNA (100 nucleotides) under unclassified sequences. RNAcentral describes it as "engA RNA". It matches the Rfam family "engA RNA". The record is from RNAcentral.